Mytilus californianus (California mussel) is the source of this 3853-nucleotide long non-coding RNA. RefSeq lists it as uncharacterized. The transcript is spliced from 2 exons. Lineage: Eukaryota; Metazoa; Mollusca; Bivalvia; Mytilida; Mytilidae. The record is from RefSeq and is a predicted model, not a curated record.
GUAAAAAGAAAUUGUGGGGGGUCAAUUUUUUCUCAUUUCAGAUUUCAGAAAUUAAAAAGAUUUAUUCUUCAAAUAUUAUUUUUUUUUCAAAUUUCAAAUAUUGAAAAAUUUCAAGAAGUAAUCUUUAAUUGCACAGUAUGGCGCAUUAGAUUUGUAAAAUCUUUGACCACAUUUAUUUAUUUGUUAUGCCAAAUCUGACCGUGUAUUUAUAUUUUUAAUUUUGUGUCCAGUUUUCAAAUUGGUCUACAUUAAGGUCCAAAGGGUCCAAAAUUAAACUUAGUUUGAUUUUAACAAAAAUUGAAUAUAUGGGGUUCUUUGAUAUGCUGAAUCUAAACAUGUAUUUAGAUUUUUGAUUUCGGGCCCAGUUUUCAAGUUGGUCCAAAUAUGGGUCCAAAAUUAAAGUUUGUUUGAUUUCAACAAAAAUUGAAUAUAUGGGGUUCUUUGAUAUGCUGAAUCUAACCAUGUAUUUAGAUUUUUUAUUUUGCUAUCAAAUUGGUUCAUAGUGAGGUCAAAAGGGUCCGAAAUUAAACUUUGUUUUAUUUCAUCAAAAAUUGAAUUAUUGGGGUUCUUUGAUAUGCCAAAUCUAACCGUGUAUUUAAAUUUUUAAUUUUGGGUCCCGUUUUUAUACGACCGCAAAAAAAUUUUGUGGUCGUAUAUUGGUAUGACGUUGGCGUCGUCGUCGUCGUCGUCGUCCGGCGUCGUCGUCGUCGUCGUCGUCGUCCGGCGUCGUCGUCCGAAUACAUUUUGGUUUUCGCACUCUAACUUUAGUUUAAGUGAAUGGAUCUUUUUGAAAUUUGACCAUAAGGUUAAAUACCACAAAAGGAAGGUUGGGAUUGAUUUUGGGGGUUAUGGUACCAACAGUUAAGGAAUUAGGGGCCAAAAAGGGGCCAAAAAUGAGCAUUUUCUAAUUUCCAGACAAUAACUGUGGAACGGUGUAUGGAUCUCUCUGAAAUUAUACUACAAGUUUCCAUACCACAAAGGGAUGGUUAGGAUUUGCUUUGGGGGGUUAUUGCUCAAACCGUUUAGGAAUUAGGGGCAAAAAAGGGGGAAAAACAAGGUUGUCCUGGUUAAUGGACAAAUACUUUAGUACAAAACAUAAUUUAAAGCAGUGUAAGGGAGAUAAAUCAAAUACAUCAUUGAAAUUAUCUCCCUUACACUGCUUUUAAAUUAUGUAUAAAGUAAUGGUUAAUGAACAAUAAAGAUAAUCUAAAACAGUGUAAGGGAGGUAAUCCAAAUACAACGUUUUGGUUACUUCCCUUACACUGCUUUUAAAUUAUGUUUAAAGAAAUGCAUAUUUAUAAAGGAAGACCAGUAAAAAUAUCUGCAAAUGUUUUCAUCUUUUUUUUUUACAAAAAAAUCCAUAUGAAAGAUUAGACACUAUAUUUUUAUUAAUUCUAUUAUAAAAUAGAUUAAGUUAGCACUAUGGUAAAUUUAAAUGGGUAAUUAUGGUUGCCAACUCCAUUGGAAAUUUGAAUUGAGAUUAUGACCAUAUCUUGAGGGAAAGAUUUUUUUUGGGGGAAAAAGGGGGGGGGGGAUAAAAAGAAAUUGUGGGGGGCCAUUUUUUUCUCAUUUCAGAUUUCAGAAAUUAAAAAGAAUUAUUCUUCAAAUAUUAUUUUUUUUUCAAAUUUCAAAUAUUGAAAAAUUUCAAGAAGUAAUCUUUAAUUGCACAGUAUGGCGCAUUAGAUUUGUAAAAUCUUUGAUCACAUUUAUUUAUUUGUUAUGCCGAAUCUAACAGUGUAUUUAGAUUUUUAAUUUUGGGUCCAGUUUUCAAAUUGGUCUACAUUAAUGUCCAAAGGGUCCAAAAUUAAACUUUGUUUGAUUUUAGCAAAAAUUGAAUAUAUGAGGUUCUUUGAUAUGCUGAAUCUAAACAUGUAUUUAGAUUUUUGAUUUUUGGCCCAGUUUUCAAGUUGGUCCAAAUUGGGGUCCAAAAUUAAACUUUGUUUGAUUUCAACAAAAAUUGAAUAUAUGGGGUUCUUUGAUAUGCUGAAUCUAACCAUGUAUUUAGAUUUUUUAUUUGUGGACCCCGUUAUCUAAUUGGUUCAUAUUGAGGUCAAAAGGGUCCAAAAUUAAACUUUGUUUGAUUUCAUCUAAAAUUGAAUUAUUGGGGUUCUUUGAUAUUCCAAAUCUAACCGUGUAUUUAGGUUUUUAAUUUUGGGUCCUGUUUUUUAAAUUGGUCUACAUUGAGGUCCAAAGGGUCCAAAAUUAAACUUAGUUUGAUUUUGACAAAAAUUGAAUUCUUGGGGUUCUUUGAUUUGCUGAAUCUAAACAUGUGUUUAGAUUUUUGAUUAUGGGCCCAGUUUUCAAGUUGGUCCAAGAUAGGGUCCAGUAUUUAAACUUUGUUUGAUUUCAACAAAAAUUGAAUAUAUGGGGUUCUUUGAUAUGCUGAAUCUAAACAUGUAUUUAGAUUUUUGAUUAGGGCCCAGUUUUCAAGUUGGUCCAAAUUGGGGUCCAAAAUUAAACUUUGUUUGAUUUCAACAAAAAUUGAAUAUAUGAGGGUCUUUGAUAUGCUGAAUCUAACCAUGUAUUUAGAUUUUUUAUUUGUAGGCCCCGCUAUCAAAUUGGUUCAUAUUGAGGUCAAAAGGGUCCAAAAUUAAACUUUGUUUGAUUUCAUCGAAAAUUGAAUUAUUGGGGUUCUUUGAUAUGCCAAAUCUAACCGUGUUUUUAGAUUUUUAAUUUGGGUCCCGUUUUUUAAAUUGGUCUUCAUUGAGGUCCAAAGGGUCCAAAACUAAACUUAGUUUGAUUUUAACAAAAAUUGAAUAUAUGGGGUUCUUUGAUAUGCUGAAUCUAAACAUGUAUUUAGAUUUUUGAUUUUGGGCCCAGUUUUCAAGUUGGUCCAAAUUGGGGUCCAAAAUUAAACUUUGUUUGAUUUCAACAAAAAUUAAAUAUAUGGGGUUCUUUGAUAUGCUGAAUCUAACCAUGUAUUUAAAUUUUUUAUUUGUGGGCUCCGCUAUCAAAUUGGUUCAUAUUGAGGUCAAAAGGGUCCAAAAUUAAAAUUUGUUUUAUUUCAUCAAAAAUUGAAUUAUUGGGGUUCUUUGAUAUGCCAAAUCUAACCGUGUAUUUAGAUUUUUAGUUUUGGGUCCCGUUUUUUAAAUUGGUCUACAUUAAGGUCCAAAGGGUCCAAAAUUAAACUUAGUUUGAUUUUAACAAAAAAAUGAAUUCUUGGGGUUCUUUGAUAUGCUGAAUCUAAACAUGUGUUUAGAUUUUUGAUUUUGGGUCCAGUUUUCAAGUUGGUCCAAGUUGGGCUCCAAAAUUAAACUUUUUUUGUUUGAUUUCAACAAAAAUUGAAUAUAUGGGGUUCUUUGAUAUGCUGAAUCUAACCAUGUAUUUUGAUUUUAGGGCCCCGUUAUCAAAUUGGUCCACAUUGAGGUCAAAAGGGUCCAAAAUUAAACUUUGUUUGAUUUCAUCAAAAAUUGAAUUCUUUGGAUUCUUUGAUAUGCUGAAUCUAACCAUGUAUUUAGAUUUUGGAUAUUGGACCAUAAUAGGUAAAUAAAAAAAUUUUAAGUUCUUAGACCACAUUCAGUCUGUGUCAGAAACCUAUGCUGUGUCAAAUAUUUAAUCACAAUCCAAAUUCAGAGCUGUAUCAAGCUUGAAUGUUGUGUCCAUACUUGCCCCAAAUGUUCAGGGUUCGACCUCUGCGGUCGUAUCAAGCUGCGCCCAGUGGAGCAUUUUAUUCUUUUUGUCUUUUAGAAGGUUCUGAAUAUAUUCUGCUUCAUAUGAGUACAAAACCAAGUCGGCCAGAAGGGGUGCACAAUUAGUACCCAUUGGAAUACCGACUGUCUGUUGAAAUAGCAAUCCUCCAAACUCAACAAAUAUAUUUAAUUAUAUACGAUUAAAAAUUCCAUCAUUUUGAUAA